GGAAGAAAGAGAUCAGAGAGAGACGAGAGACGUGUUGUUCUUGUUGUUGUUUGUUGUUUUGAUGCUUCUUUUUCGUUUUUUUUU
Molecule: non-coding RNA, 84 nt
Filed under: Licmophora paradoxa
Lineage: Eukaryota; Bacillariophyta; Fragilariophyceae; Licmophorales; Licmophoraceae
Source: RNAcentral